Non-coding RNA from Drosophila virilis, 267 nucleotides. NCBI's taxonomy places the organism in Eukaryota, Metazoa, Arthropoda, Insecta, Diptera, Drosophilidae. The record is from RefSeq and is a predicted model, not a curated record.
CAGUUAGUCAACAAUUUGUCCAUAGAUGGCGCUUUGGUGAAUCAACUUUCUGGCAGCUCUGACAACAUUCAUGUUCUGAGAAUAACUCCUGCCGGAUUCGUCUAUAGAUGUUGUAAGUACACUUCACAUUUGACCAGACUGACAAAUUAUGAACUACAAUGUGCUCUAAGGACCUUCACGCAUGACAAAGCAGAUUUUUCCAGGAUCGGACUUUAAUUAAGCCAGAUAUAGUUAUUUUAAGUUGAAAUAAGCAACAAUUGUAAUUUA